Molecule: long non-coding RNA, 1085 nt
Organism: Mus musculus (house mouse)
Lineage: Eukaryota; Metazoa; Chordata; Mammalia; Rodentia; Muridae
Product: predicted gene, 48199
Exons: 4
Source: RefSeq, a predicted model, not a curated record
GUUCAGACAUCCUCAAAGAUCUACAGAUAAAGGGUUUACUGAACAUGAGUCAUGUGACAACCUUUGGAUCACGUCAAUUGUCAAUCUCCUGUGUCCAGCCACAAUGUCUUUGGAACAAGGUGUCCUGUGAGGAGCUGAGUGAGAUCCAAGAAGAAAAUGCUUCCUUCGGUAUCCUGGGUAGGUGCUCCUCCAGAAGCAGGGGUUCUAGGAAGAGGUCAAGACAAAGAGUGGAGAGAAGGAUGCCCAUAGCCUUUCUCAGAGGGGCUUAGAUUUGGAUUCUAUCUCCCACAGCAUCAUCUGUGACUGCCUUGCUCUUGGCACAGUGUGUGAAGCGUCUUCUCUAGAAGAAACUAGUACAGCCAGGUCAUCGUCACUCCAUGUAAGAUGGUAAUUGCAGCAGUCAGUGCUCAGCUUGACGUUCUGACACAGGACUAAGGUAUGGGCUCCAUUUCUGCAUAGGUAACUCAUUGGCCUACUGAACCAGUAAGUGACACUCAUGGACCAGUAAGUGACACAGUUACUUUUAUUCUCUUGACUGACACAUUAGUGGGCUGAGCUCAACAUGUGAUCUAGAAAACAAUCGAAAAGCUAACAUCAAGGACUGGGAGUUCUGCUGAGGAAAUGAGUUCCUGUCCCAGAACUCAUGCUUUGUUUUGUGAAGAUGGAAAAACAUCUGUACGGUGCUACACUCUGUGGGAAAACCAGCGCUCGGGAAAACGGGCACAGAGGGAUCCCUGGGGCUCACUGCUCAGCCAAACUAGCAUAUUUGGCAAACUUCAGGCCAGUAAGUGAGCCACCAACAAAAGGUAUGCAGAGAGCACUUAAAGAAGACCCCUGACAUGAGCACACAUGUGCUGCUUCAUCACACAUGUGUGUGCAAACACACGUAUACACUUUUAAAAAAAAUGAUGUCAAAAAACAAUUCCUAGGAAUUUGUCAAUGAUAGGUUUAGAAAUCAAAUAGAUAGCUUUCAUCCACGCAUAGUACCUACUAUUUCUCCUUGUAAAUCAAUAUUCCUCCCUGGCUCCCUGGCUCCCUGGCUCCCUGACUCCCUGGCCUCCUGGGUCCCUGGGUCCCUGGUUCCC